AGCACAGAACUUAGCAACAGCACAACAGGCUGUGGCCAGCCGCCCUGGCCCGCUAGAGGGGCUUUCCGCCAGGCCCAGGGUUGGGGGACUGGGAGCUGGCUCCACCACCCCUGACAGGCUUGCAGGGCCCAAAGGCCCCCCACCACGGGCGUCAGGGUGGAGGCGCUGGAGCUCCUGCUGGAACCACAGGGCUCCCAGAGAUGGUCUGAAAUCCCGGCCUUCCCCACGCGCUCCCUUCUAUGGGGUCUGAGAGGAGAACGCUGACGGGCGUCCCCACGCGCAGCCGUGGUUCACUCUGCUGGUUGGGCAGCCAGGAGCUGACAAGGGCAUGGGGGACUUCUGAGUUUCAGAAACAUCCAGAUGGUCCGGCAUUUCUUGCAGCUGCCACCUGGCCUGGUUGAACCUGCUCGUGGCCUGGCCGCAGUGGCAGGGAGUUAGGGCUGACCCUUUCAGCUGGGGGCCUGGAGGAGCCGGUGAAGGGCCAGAGCCUGGGAUCGCAGCAGCCCCACAUCUGCGCGCCUGACUCACGGACUCUGACAUAGUGACGGUUUGUGCAGCUUGCUAAGGAGAGAGCACCCAGGCCUGUCCUCCAAGGGCCCCGUCUGAGGCCCCGUCUCAGAGGUGCGGCAGUAACAGGGUCCCUCUGGAGCCCCAGCCCCCAGGGGGGAGUCCCUGCCCCACCUACCAGUCUGUGGCCCGUGCACAGUUUCUCCUCCCUGAGUGUCACCGCUUCCUCGCCUGUGAGCUGGGAGGACUAAGUGACCAGUGUGGCUCGUUCCUGGCACCACAUACACUGCAGCCCUCAUUCUGGUUGUUCCCACAUCUUGGCUGUCGUGAAUAGUGCUACAGCAAACAUCAAACUAAAAAGCUUCCACCCAGCAAAGGAGACAAUCAACAGAGUGAAAAGGCAACUACAGAGUGGGAGAAGAUAUUUACCAACCAUGUGUCUGAUAAGGGGUAUAUAGCCAAAGUACAUAAGGAACUCCUACAACUCCACAGCAAAAAAUUGAAUAACUCAAUUGAAAAAUGGACUAAGGACUUGAAUUUUUCCAAAGAAGACACACAAGUGGCCAACAGGUACAUGAAAAGAUGCUCAACGUCACUGAUCAUCAGGGAAAUGCAAAUCAAAACCUUAUACCUGUGAGGAUGGUUGUUACCAAAAAAACAAAGACAAGUGUUGGUGAGGAUGUAGAGAAAUUGAAACCCUCACACACUGUUGAUGGGGAUGCAAAAUGAUGCGGUCGCUAUGGAAGAUAGUAUGGAGGCUCCUCAAGAAGUUAAAAGUUGACUACCAUAUGAUCCAGCCACCCCACUUCUGGGUACUUACCUGCAAGAGCUGAAACCAGGCUUUCUUUUGCAGUGGGCAGUACUCUCCUUCCCCAGGUGCCCACUGUCCAGAGGUCCCUGCCUUUCUCCUGCACUACCUGCCUCGGGCCUGGGGCCUUUGCUGGGGUGCUCAGGAGCUUCUGAGGGUGGGAUUAACAGGCACUGAAGCUCGGUCACCUCCACAACUUCUAAGUCGGGUUUCUCACCAACGAUGUGAAGAUUUCAUGGAACAAGGGGCCUCUGCCGCCACCUGCUGGGCACCUGGGGAAAGGGCUCUUACGCCCCAAGGAGCCCUUCCUGCUGUCUGGGCAUUUAUAAUGCAUGCCAGCAAUAGCAAUAACAAUAGCUGUGAUUUAUUAAAUGAUUGUCAGACAUUGUACCAAGUGCUUUCAA
This is a long non-coding RNA of Equus quagga, 1719 nucleotides long. RefSeq lists it as uncharacterized. The record is from RefSeq and is a predicted model, not a curated record. NCBI's taxonomy places the organism in Eukaryota, Metazoa, Chordata, Mammalia, Perissodactyla, Equidae. The transcript is spliced from 3 exons.